Molecule: transfer RNA, 71 nt
Filed under: Naegleria gruberi
Lineage: Eukaryota; Heterolobosea; Eutetramitea; Acrasida; Naegleriidae
Also listed under: 1 other name
Description: tRNA-Phe
Rfam family: tRNA
About the family: Transfer RNA (tRNA) molecules are approximately 80 nucleotides in length. Their secondary structure includes four short double-helical elements and three loops (D, anti-codon, and T loops). Further hydrogen bonds mediate the characteristic L-shaped molecular structure. tRNAs have two regions of fundamental functional importance: the anti-codon, which is responsible for specific mRNA codon recognition, and the 3' end, to which the tRNAs corresponding amino acid is attached (by aminoacyl-tRNA synthetases). tRNAs cope with the degeneracy of the genetic code in two manners: having more than one tRNA (with a specific anti-codon) for a particular amino acid; and 'wobble' base-pairing, i.e. permitting non-standard base-pairing at the 3rd anti-codon position.
Source: RNAcentral
AACUCGAUAGCUCAGUGGUAGAGCAUUGGACUGAAAAUCCUUGAGCGAUGGUUCGAUUCCAUCUCGAGGCA